This 565-nucleotide small RNA is filed under the name Pan troglodytes (chimpanzee). Its description in RNAcentral is "retained intron". The record is from RNAcentral. Lineage: Eukaryota; Metazoa; Chordata; Mammalia; Primates; Hominidae.
UUUUUAGGAUUUGGAAUAUUCCCUUUAUGUUCUAAUACAAACCCUCAUUUUCCCAGGGAGAUGAAUAAGCGUCUAACAGAGGAACAAGCCAAGAAAACCUAUGAUCGAGCAAUUAAGCUAGAACAAGAAUUUGGAGAAUAUUUUACAGCUAUUGUCCAAGGAGAUACUUUAGAAGAUAUAUAUAACCAAUGCAAGCUUGUUAUUGAAGAGCAAUCUGGGCCUUUCAUCUGGAUUCCCUCAAAGGAAAAGUUAUAAAUUAGCUACUGCGCCUCUGACAACGACAGAAGAGCAUUUAGAAGAACAAAAUAUAUAUAACAUACUACUUGGAGGCUUUUAUGUUUUUGUUGCAUUUAUGUUUUUGCAGUCAAUGUGAAUUCUUAUGAAUGUACAACACAAACUGUAUGAAGCCAUGAAGGAAACAGAGGGGCCAAAGGGUGGGACAGAAAAGACAUUGCAGUAUGAAGGAAGGCUUUGGUUUGCUCAAAGUGCCAGGUGUAGGGAUGAACCUCUGACGGGCUUUCUGCCCAAGAGAUGAGAUGAGAGCCUCCUCACCCCAGCAGAUGUC